RNAcentral lists this ribosomal RNA (519 nucleotides) under uncultured eukaryote. RNAcentral describes it as "SSU rRNA". It matches the Rfam family "Eukaryotic small subunit ribosomal RNA", at positions 1161 to 1693 of the family's 1831-position model. The record is from RNAcentral.
AGGGCACCACCAGGAGUGGAGCCUGCGGCUUAAUUUGACUCAACACGGGAAAACUUACCCGGCCCGGACACUGGAAGGAUUGACAGAUUGAGAGCUCUUUCUUGAUUCAGUGGGUGGUGGUGCAUGGCCGUUCUUAGUUGGUGGAGCGAUUUGUCUGGUUAAUUCCGAUAACGGACGAGACUCUAGCCUACUAAAUAGACCAGAGGCUUCUUAAAACACGUCUCUGGCUGCUUCUUAGAGGGACAGGCGGCGAUUCAGCCGCACGAAACAGAGCAAUAACAGGUCUGUGAUGCCCUUAGAUGUCCGGGGCCGCACGCGCGCUACACUGAAGUGAUCAGCGUGCUUUUUGUACCCUGCUCUGCCAAGAGUGGGUAACCCAAUGAACCUUCUUCGUGAUUGGGAUAGGGGAUUGUAAUUAUUCCCCUUGAACGAGGAAUUCCCAGUAAGCGCGAGUCAUAAGCUCGCGUUGAUUACGUCCCUGCCCUUUGUACACACCGCCCGUCGCUACUACCGAUUGAA